UCGGACAUAAAUAUAUACCUGAAUUUUUGUGUAGCCACCACACAUUUCUACUUCAACAAUCUAGGCUAAUGGAUAGAUCUUCUCAUCUCUACCUCCUUAUAGCGUCACUCCUACUACAUCAAUGGAUGAUUGAUUAUAGCUCAGCCAACUCAGAUAUAAACGUUGAUCGUUCUUCGCUUGUUAUCAUCAAAUCAAGAAUCUCUUUUGAUCCCCAUAAUAUAUUGGAGUGGUGAGAGCAAUAUCUGUAGUUGGAUAGGAGUUACAUGUGAUUCUCACCAUCGUAGUGUAACUCAGUUGAAUUUAUCGUCAAUGGGUCUCGCGGGAAUCAUUCCACCGGAAAUCGGAAAUCUUUCUUUUCUUGUUUCUUUAGAUAUGAGCGAUAACUAUUUUCAUGGUCCUAUUCCCCCAUCUAUUUUCAACAUGUCAUUUUUAGAAAAUAUGAAUUUAAAUUUUAAUAAUUUGUCUGCCUGCCUACCUCAUGACAUGUGCAAACAAAAUCUUGAUAGACUCGUAUUUCUCCGUAUCUCUUUCAAUGAAUUAUAUGGGGAAAUACCAGAGUUGAGGCAGUGUUCGCAUCUUGUGUAUCUUACUUUAUCCAAAAACAAAUUUAAUGGUAAUAUUCCAAAAGAGAUUGGUGGUCUUACAAAUUUACAAGCUUUGGCAAUGAGUUUCAACAAUUUUAGUGGCCACGUGCCAAGAUAAAUUGGGAACUUGACAAAGCUUGAAUUGUUAGACCUUAGUACCAACAACUUAAACGGUAAUAUUCCAAAAGAGAUCGGUUAUCUUACUAAGUUAAAAGGGUUGAACAUGAUUUCCAACGUGGUAUCAGGAUCAUUACCAAAUGAAAUUGGAAACAUGACAUCCCUUACCGACUUAUUCCUAAAGAAUAACGCAUUAAGUGUGUUUAUUUAAUUGUCUAGACGGGAUACAUGUCACCAUCGACCUCCUCAUGGACUCGCCGUCUGAUUUCGUUGCUGCUGAUUCUCGCCGAGCGGUGAGAGGCGCUCCAGGAUCCACUGAGCAGUCGCUUCGGUCGGUGUCAUACUCCAGCCAUCUCGGCUGCAUUGUCAUUGUCAAUUUCGUCGGACUGCCGUGCACUUCUCGGCUUAGGGAAGCUUUAGCAACAAUCUUUCUACUCCCUCUGGAGAGUUUGUAUCUGGCUGGUGCUUGUCUAACGUUCUAGUUUGUGAAGAGGAUGCACCAUUAGAAUGAGAAGGAUUUGUUUCUCAACAUGUUCAUUUGGUUCAUAGAGAAGGACUAUUAGAAACUGUCAGAUGACAAAGUGUCCACAGUUAUGUAUGCCUGCUUCUAACUCUUCCCUUGGUUAAUCAAGUAGUAGUACAUAUCUAUAUUCUAAUACUCUAUUGC
Long non-coding RNA from Salvia splendens (bonfire salvia), 1368 nucleotides. RefSeq lists it as uncharacterized. The transcript has 6 exons. NCBI's taxonomy places the organism in Eukaryota, Viridiplantae, Streptophyta, Magnoliopsida, Lamiales, Lamiaceae. The record is from RefSeq and is a predicted model, not a curated record.